CCUACGGGAGGCAGCAGUGAGGAAUAUUGGUCAAUGGCCGGAAGGCUGAACCAGCCAAGUCGCGUGAGUGAAGAAGUAUUUCGGUAUGUAAAGCUCUAUCAGCAGGGAAGAAAAUGACGGUACCUGAUUAAGAAGCCACGGCUAACUACGUGCCAGCAGCCGCGGUAAUACGAAGGGGGCAAGCGUGAUCCGGAUUUACUGGGUGUAAAGGGAGCGUAGACGGCAGCACAAGUCUGGAGUGAAAGGCCGGGGCUUAACCCAGGAACUGCUUUGGAAACUGUGCAGCUAGAGUGCAGGAGAGGUAAGUGGAAUUCCUAGUGUAGCGGUGAAAUGCGUAGAUAUUAGGAAGAACACCAGUGGCGAAGGCGGCUGACUGGACUGUAACUGACGUUGAGGCUCGAAAGCGUGGGGAGCAAACAGGAUUAGAUACCCGUGUAGUC
RNAcentral lists this ribosomal RNA (440 nucleotides) under uncultured bacterium. Its description in RNAcentral is "partial 16S ribosomal RNA". It matches the Rfam family "Bacterial small subunit ribosomal RNA", at positions 338 to 795 of the family's 1533-position model. The record is from RNAcentral.